AUUAAAUUAAAAAAGAAAAUGGAACCAUCUGGUUUGCUUAAUAUAAGGAAUUUGAAAUGAUUGAUACUUUUACUACUUAAGUAUAUUUUAGCAAUUACUUUUGAUACCUGAGUAUAUUUAAAACCAAAUACUUUUAGACUUUUACUUAAGUAGUAUUUUACUGGGUGACUUUCACUUGAGUCAUUUUCCUUCAAACCAGUCAAGGGAAGUGAACAAGUGCACAUGACAACAUAGAAUAAGAGCCUAACAUAAGGCAGUGUGAAUAAAUCCUGAUCAUAUGACUGAUCUACUGUAGUAGUCUAUCCACGCUUCACUACUCCUUUUGCUCCACAUACAUUAAACAUCAUUCAUCUGUGGCCUUGCUGGUCCAGCAGUAAUGCUGCAGCCUCCAGUACACAUAGGCCUGUCUGCAGUGUUGUCAUAGGUCCAUCCAGCCUGCAGCCUCCAGUACACAUAGGCCUGUCUGCAGUGUUGUCAUAGGUCCAUCCAGCCUGCAGCCUCCAGUACACAUAGGCCUGUCUGCAGUGUUGUCAUAGGUCCAUCCAGCCUGCAGCCUCCAGUACACAUAGGCCUGUCUGCAGUGUUGUCAUAGGUCCAUCCAGCCUGCAGCCUCCAGUACACAUAGGCCUGUCUGCAGUGUUGUCAUAGGUCCAUCCAGCCUGCAGCCUCCAGUACACAUAGGCCUGUCUGCAGUGUUGUCAUAGGUCCAUCCAGCCUGCAGCCUCCAGUACACAUAGGCCUGUCUGCAGUGUUGUCAUAGGUCCAUCCAGCCUGCAGCCUCCAGUACACAUAGGCCUGUCUGCAGUGUUGUCAUAGGUCCAUCCAGCCUGCAGCCUCCAGUACACAUAGGCCUGUCUGCAGUGUUGUCAUAGGUCCAUCCAGCCUGCAGCCUCCAGUACACAUAGGCCUGUCUGCAGUGUUGUCAUAGGUCCAUCCAGCCUGCAGCC
Molecule: long non-coding RNA, 947 nt
Organism: Oncorhynchus keta (chum salmon)
Lineage: Eukaryota; Metazoa; Chordata; Actinopteri; Salmoniformes; Salmonidae
Exons: 4
Source: RefSeq, a predicted model, not a curated record